Molecule: transfer RNA, 74 nt
Filed under: Nelumbo nucifera (sacred lotus)
Lineage: Eukaryota; Viridiplantae; Streptophyta; Magnoliopsida; Proteales; Nelumbonaceae
Rfam family: tRNA
About the family: Transfer RNA (tRNA) molecules are approximately 80 nucleotides in length. Their secondary structure includes four short double-helical elements and three loops (D, anti-codon, and T loops).
Source: Rfam by way of RNAcentral
GUUGAAGUAGCUCAAUUGAUUAGAGCGUAUGGCUGUUAAUCACAAUGUCGAAAGUUCAAACAUUUUUUCUAGCG